RNAcentral lists this ribosomal RNA (787 nucleotides) under uncultured bacterium. RNAcentral describes it as "bacterial SSU rRNA". It matches the Rfam family "Bacterial small subunit ribosomal RNA", at positions 8 to 796 of the family's 1533-position model. The record is from RNAcentral.
AGAGUUUGAUCAUGGCUCAGGACGAACGCUGGCGGCGUGCUUAACACAUGCAAGUCGAACGGAAAGGCCCUUUCGGGGGUACUCGAGUGGCGAACGGGUGAGUAACACGUGGGUGAUCUGCCCUGCACUUCGGGAUAAGCUUGGGAAACUGGGUCUAAUACCGGAUAGGACCAUGCCAUGCAUGUGGUGUGGUGGAAAGCUUUUGCGGUGUGGGAUGGGCCCGCGGCCUAUCAGCUUGUUGGUGGGGUGAUGGCCUACCAAGGCGACGACGGGUAGCCGGCCUGAGAGGGUGUCCGGCCACACUGGGACUGAGAUACGGCCCAGACUCCUACGGGAGGCAGCAGUGGGGAAUAUUGCACAAUGGGCGCAAGCCUGAUGCAGCGACGCCGCGUGGGGGAUGACGGCCUUCGGGUUGUAAACCUCUUUCACCAUCGGCGAAGCCCAUGAUUUUUGUUGUGGGUGACGGUAGGUGGAGAAGAAGCACCGGCCAACUACGUGCCAGCAGCCGCGGUAAUACGUAGGGUGCGAGCGUUGUCCGGAAUUACUGGGCGUAAAGAGCUCGUAGGUGGUUUGUCGCGUUGUCCGUGAAAUUCCCUGGCUUAACUGGGGGCGUGCGGGCGAUACGGGCAGACUGGAGUACUGCAGGGGAGACUGGAAUUCCUGGUGUAGCGGUGGAAUGCGCAGAUAUCAGGAGGAACACCGGUGGCGAAGGCGGGUCUCUGGGCAGUAACUGACGCUGAGGAGCGAAAGCGUGGGGAGCGAACAGGAUUAGAUACCCCGGUAGUCC